Peromyscus maniculatus bairdii (prairie deer mouse) is the source of this 105-nucleotide small nuclear RNA. The record is from Ensembl. NCBI's taxonomy places the organism in Eukaryota, Metazoa, Chordata, Mammalia, Rodentia, Cricetidae.
UUGAUGGAUUUGACAACAUAGAUACUAAAAUUGAAAUGAGACUGAAGCUUGGCGUGGCUCCUGUGUAAGGAUGGCACACAAAUUGGGAGUGCCUUCCAUGUUUUU